CUCUAUAAAAGGACCUCACAUUCACAACACAGUAACUUUUUACCAACUGCACACAAGUAUUGUUUACCAGAUAAUUUACUACAGAGGCGAUCUUCUCCAGACAGCCACAUUCUGCUAUAAUUUACAGUCUAUUACAGACAAUUCAGUCUACCACAGACCACAGUCUGCAUCAGACAGCACCAUGUAUUUAGGAAACAAAAGGGUUAGAUUUGUUAGUGCUGCUUCUCAGGACCGGCCAACAUCUCCCUCACACUUCCUUCGGUUGCGAAAUGCACUUGGUAAUGCGCACAAGAAGAUUGAAGGCCUGAAAGCCGAGAUAGACAGACUGUCGCAGCGUAGCGACAUUCCGAUGGGGUGUUGUUCCCGGGCGGGCUAAUCGGUGAGUGCAGACGCAGCGCUCGCGCCGGGGCUUUACGCUAAACAUACAAACACGGGCCUGUGGAGUUGCAGAAAGUGGAAAGCUGAUGUCAAACGGGUAAGUAUUGACACACAAAGACACUCGCGCCCUCAGGUAUGCAUGCAAAUACACAUAUCCACAAAAACACAUGUACACAGAUGAGGAGAGCUGGGUAACUGGGACAAAGGUGAAAGGUUCAAGGUUUGAAAAAUAGAGGAUGGAUGGGAAGAAGAUUUAGCAGGCGAUUCCAUAUUGGCGAGGGAAAAUUGCCCACACUUUGGCACCACUAUCCAAGUAUUUAAUACUUGGAUAGUGUGCCUUCAAACCAAUCCAUACUGUAUAUUUAUAAAUAUUUACAAGGACUUUUUGAACUGGCUGAAGAAAACCAUUCUAUCUGGUAAACCUGGAGUUUUUAGGCAUUGCAGGGUCCAAACCCGCAUGUUUGGGAGCUACUGUGUUUAUAGGCCAUUAGGUAAAGACUACAGGAGGAUGGGAAACCAAAUAAAAAUAGCCAAAAAGCAGAAGAUGAGGGUAGGGGGUACAGUGGGUCGAAGAGGUAACAGGCGACAGGACAAGGUAAAGAACUGAAAAGAAAUGAAAGAUACGGAUUGUCAGACUGAGAGGACGAGCAGACAGGGAGCCCGGAGAGAGGACGACAAGGUUGUCAAAGGAGGAGAGAAAGGAGGGCUCUUGAAGAAAACUACAGUGCGCGUCGGUAAGUCCUGUUGACAAGGAUAGGAAAAGCUCUCUCGCACACAGAGGUCUCUUUGUUCCUUUGUGAGUCAUUCUAGAAAGGCCACAGCUGUAAACAGUCGAGAUCAGUCCAUUAGGCCCUGAGGUGCCGGAGCUCCAGCGUUGACUGUGUAUCCGGAAAGAAACGGCAAGCUUGAGUCAUCAAUAAACAGAACAGUCAGA
Molecule: long non-coding RNA, 1312 nt
Organism: Micropterus dolomieu (smallmouth bass)
Lineage: Eukaryota; Metazoa; Chordata; Actinopteri; Centrarchiformes; Centrarchidae
Exons: 2
Source: RefSeq, a predicted model, not a curated record